CCUACGGGAGGCAGCAGUGGGGAAUAUUGGACAAUGGGCGAAAGCCUGAUCCAGCAAUGCCGCGUGAGUGAUGAAGGCCUUAGGGUUGUAAAGCUCUUUUACCAGGGAUGAUAAUGACAGUACCUGGAGAAUAAGCUCCGGCUAACUCCGUGCCAGCAGCCGCGGUAAUACGGAGGGAGCUAGCGUUGUUCGGAAUUACUGGGCGUAAAGCGUACGUAGGCGGUUAUUCAAGUCAGAGGUGAAAGCCUGGAGCUCAACUCCAGAACUGCCUUUGAAACUAGAUAGCUAGAAUCUUGGAGAGGUGAGUGGAAUUCCGAGUGUAGAGGUGAAAUUCGUAGAUAUUCGGAAGAACACCAGUGGCGAAGGCGACUCACUGGACAAGUAUUGACGCUGAGGUACGAAAGCGUGGGGAGCAAACAGGAUUAGAUACCCUGGUAGUCCACGCCGUAAACGAUGAUAACUAGCUGUUCGGGCUCUACGAGCUUGAGUGGCGCAGCUAACGCAUUAAGUUAUCCGCCUGGGGAGUACGGUCGCAAGNUUAAAACUCAAAGUUGAAGUUGACGG
RNAcentral lists this ribosomal RNA (564 nucleotides) under uncultured bacterium. RNAcentral's name for it is "bacterial SSU rRNA". It matches the Rfam family "Bacterial small subunit ribosomal RNA", at positions 338 to 916 of the family's 1533-position model. The record is from RNAcentral.